UGGAUAAUUUGAUUAAUAAAAACUUCUGGGCAAAGAUAGUAUGUAAAUAAAAUAAUACCACAUGACCAUUAAAAAUUGAGCAGUAGACAAAUGGAUAAAGAAGUUGUGGUUUAUAUACACAAUGGAAUACUACAUGGCAAUGAGAAUGAAAUCUGGCCUUUUGUAGCAACGUGGAUGGAACUGGGGCGUGUUAUGCUAAGUGAAAUAAGUCAUACAGAGAAAGACAGAUACCAUAUGUUUUCACUCUUAUGUGGAUCCUGAGAAACUUAACAGAAGACCAUGGGGGAGGGGAAGGGGGGAAAAAGAGAGGGAAGGAGGCAAACCAUAAGAAACUCUUAAAAACUGAGAAUAAACUGAGGGUUGAUGGGGGGGUGGGGUGGGUGGGAGAGGAAAGUGGAUGAUGGGCAUUGAGGAGGGCACCUGUUGGGUUGAGCACUGGGUGUUGUAUGGAAACCAAUUUGACAAUAAAUUUCAUAUUAAAAAAAACAAAAACAAAUAUAAAAAAAAAUUGAGCGGUAGACCUGUAUUCAUUGAUGUGCAAAUGAGAGUCCAGUAUACAUUAUGUGAAAAAGGCAAUUACAAAAUCACAUACACUAGUAUUCCAUUUAUAAAAGGAAAAUAACUUUCUAUAUGAGAAUACAUGUACAGAAAAAUUACGGAAGGAACCAUCAAUGUGUUAAUUGAUUAUGAUUGUCUUUGGAUGGGAGAAUUGUGGGUGGUAUUUUUUUUCCUUGUGUUUUGGCUUUUUUAACAGAACAAAUAUGUUUAUUAUGUUAAUUAUGCAUUACAUUUCUAAUGAGAAACAUAGAAGGUCUUUUUAUUUUGGAGAACAGUGGAUAGGAGGGCGAGACCCAGUGUGAAAUGCCAUGGCAAGGUUAAGUGAGGAGUGGAAUGUCCCAUUGGUUGUGGCAAACAAGUGGUUAUUGGUGAUCUUGGAAGAGCUGCUGCAUCUGCAUUCAUUGUAGUGAUGUGAUGUGGAUGAGAAUUAGGAAAAUGUGCAUUGCUGUGUAAAGAUCCUUGUCUAAGAAAAGAAGAGGAGGGGCUCCUGGCUGGUUCAAUCCAUGGAACAUGUGACUCUCAAUCUCAGGGUUGUGAGUUCAAUCUCCUCGUUGGGUGUAGAGAUCUUAAAAAUAAAAUCUUAAAAGAAAAAGGGGGCACCUGGGUAGCUCAGUCUGACUCUUGAUUUCGGCUCAGGUCACGAUCUCAUGGUUCACAGGAUUGAGCCCCCGUGUCAAGAUUCUCUCUCUGCCUCUCCUGGGAUUCUCUCCCCCCACACCCCCCCCCCCGCCCUUCCCUUGCUCAUUCGUAAAUAAAUAAAUAAAUAAAUAAGCAAACAAAUAAA
Acinonyx jubatus (cheetah) is the source of this 1342-nucleotide long non-coding RNA. RefSeq lists it as uncharacterized. NCBI's taxonomy places the organism in Eukaryota, Metazoa, Chordata, Mammalia, Carnivora, Felidae. The record is from RefSeq and is a predicted model, not a curated record. The transcript is spliced from 2 exons.